CCAUACUUUUCUGAUUAUGAACCGGCUUUUCCAUUUCAUACCAAUACUACCGAUCAAGUGAUUCUAGAAGUUGCAAACGAGUCUGGCGAAAGGUAAAAUAGCCUCCGGUGAAUAUUUACUAGGCAAGUUUGUGACUAUCUUUCUCGGGUUCACCCAGUUACAUAUCCGAAUUACUUAGAUACAACCCGUGAGGUUGAGGAUGGAAGUUAUUCAUUUACCGUUCACACCCUAAAGCCACAGAUUCAACAAAGUGAUUGUAUGCAAGAACCCUUGUGGGUGGUGAACGAUGGAUACCCAAGGUAUUUAGAGAGCGAAGCAUCUUUGGGUGAUCGCACUGUCAAAACAUGCGGCCACCAGGGAUGCGCAACGAAACAUGAUCUAGCAGAAAUUUACUGUCAGUUCAGCAGGUGAAAGCCGUAAAUAUGGAAAUGGCAAUAUAUGAUUGUAUACAGGGAUAUUUGUGAUGAUGAUAAAGAUCGCAUCUCCUUGUUUCCUGAGAUGCUCGACUAUCCGGGUACUUUCGAGUGCAUUUGAUUCAUUGUUGGACAACAAAAGAGUGCGGCAAGGAACCAAAUCCAAUCACACCAGGCAGUCAGGGUAGUUAAUUCUACAUGGCUUGCUUGGGGAUGAAGAAAAAAUAUCCUCUUCGCCAUCCUUUGGACCUCGCAACAG
RNAcentral lists this small RNA (672 nucleotides) under Histoplasma ohiense. RNAcentral describes it as "hypothetical lncRNA". The record is from RNAcentral. Lineage: Eukaryota; Fungi; Ascomycota; Eurotiomycetes; Onygenales; Ajellomycetaceae.